RNAcentral lists this ribosomal RNA (253 nucleotides) under uncultured bacterium. Its description in RNAcentral is "partial 16S ribosomal RNA". It matches the Rfam family "Bacterial small subunit ribosomal RNA", at positions 524 to 776 of the family's 1533-position model. The record is from RNAcentral.
UACGGGGGGGGCUAGCGUUGUUCGGAAUUACUGGGCGUAAAGGGCGCGUAGGCGGUCUGCUAAGUUGGAUGUGAAAACUCUGGGCUUAACCCAGAGCCUGCAUUCAAUACUGACAGGCUAGAGUUCUGGAGGGGAUAGCGGAAUUCCGGGUGUAGCGGUGGAAUGCGUAGAGAUCCGGAAGAACACCGGUGGCGAAGGCGGUCUGCUGGGCAGUUGCUGACACUGAGGCGCGACAGCGUGGGGAGCAAACAGG